UGGGGGACUUUAACGCCCACGUGGGCAGCGACAGUGAUACCUGGAGGGGCGUGAUUGGGAGGAACGGCCUCCCUGAUCUGAACCCGAGCGGUGAGUUGUUAUUGGAUUUCUGUGCUAGUCGCGGUUUAUCCAUAACGAACACCAUGUUCAUGCAUAAGGGUGUCCACCAGUGCACUUGGCACCAGGACACCCUAGGUCGGAGGUCGAUGAUCGACUUUGUAGUCGUUUCUUCUGACCUUCGGCCAUAUGUUUUGGACACUCGGGUGAAGAGAGGGGCUGAGCUGUCAACUGAUCACCACCUGGUGGUGAGUUGGAUUCGAUGGCGGGGGAAAAAGCUGGACAGACCUGGCAGGCCCAAACGCAUAGUGAGGGUCUGUUGGGAACGUUUGGCGGAGGCCCCUGUCAGAGAGGUCUUCAACUCCCACCUCCGACAGAGCUUCAACCAGGUCCCGAGGGAGGUGGGGGACAUUGAGUCUGAAUGGACUAUGUUCCGCUCCUCCAUUGUCGGUGCGGCUGUCCGGAGCUGCGGCCAUAAGGUCUCCGGUGCCUGUCGCGGCGGCAAUCCCCGAACACGGUGGUGGACACCGGAAGUAAGGGAUGCCGUCAAGCUGAAGAAGGAGUUCUAUCGGGCCUGGCUGGCUCAUGGGACUCCUGAAGCAGCUGACAGAUACCGACGGGCCAAACGGAGCGCGGCUCUGGCAGUCGCCGCGGCAAAAACUCGGGCUUGGGAGGAGUUCGGUGAGGCCAUGGAGGAAGACUUUCGGUCGGCCUCAAAGAGAUUCUGGCAAACCGUCCGGCGACUCAGAGGGGGGAAGCGGUGUUCCACGAACACUGUUUACAGUGGAAGUGGUGCGCUGCUGACCUCAGCUGAGGAUGUUCUCGGGCGGUGGAAGGAGUACUUUGAGGAUCUCCUCAAUCCCUCCGACACGCCUUCCGUAGAGGAAGCUGAGGCUGGGGACUUGGAGGGGGACUCGUCCAUUACCCUGGCUGAAGUUGCUGAGGUAGUCAAAAAACUCC
RNAcentral lists this long non-coding RNA (1017 nucleotides) under Scleropages formosus (Asian bonytongue). Its description in RNAcentral is "lncRNA (ENSSFOG00015031890.1)". Lineage: Eukaryota; Metazoa; Chordata; Actinopteri; Osteoglossiformes; Osteoglossidae. The record is from RNAcentral.